This 253-nucleotide ribosomal RNA is filed under the name uncultured bacterium. RNAcentral's name for it is "partial 16S ribosomal RNA". It matches the Rfam family "Bacterial small subunit ribosomal RNA", at positions 524 to 776 of the family's 1533-position model. The record is from RNAcentral.
UACGUAGGUGGCAAGCGUUAUCCGGAAUUAUUGGGCGUAAAGCGCGCGCGGGCGGUCCUUUAAGUCUGAUGUGAAAGCCCACGGCUCAACCGUGGAGGGUCAUUGGAAACUGGGGGACUUGAGUACAGAAGAGAAGAGUGGAAUUCCACGUGUAGCGGUGAAAUGCGUAGAGAUGUGGAGGAACACCAGUGGCGAAGGCGACUCUUUGGUCUGUAACUGACGCUGAGGCGCGAAAGCGUGGGGAGCAAACAGG